This 460-nucleotide ribosomal RNA is filed under the name uncultured bacterium. RNAcentral's name for it is "partial 16S ribosomal RNA". It matches the Rfam family "Bacterial small subunit ribosomal RNA", at positions 338 to 795 of the family's 1533-position model. The record is from RNAcentral.
CCUACGGGUGGCAGCAGUGAGGAAUAUUGGUCAAUGGACGCAAGUCUGAACCAGCCAUGCCGCGUGCAGGAAGACGGCUCUAUGAGUUGUAAACUGCUUUUGUACGAGGGUAAACGCAGAUACGCGUAUCUGUCUGAAAGUAUCGUACGAAUAAGGAUCGGCUAACUCCGUGCCAGCAGCCGCGGUAAUACGGAGGGUUCAAGCGUUAUCCGGAUUUAUUGGGUUUAAAGGGUGCGUAGGCGGUCGGAUAAGUUAGAGGGGAAAUCCCGAGGCGCAACUUCGGAAUUGCCUCUGAUACUGUCCGGCUAGAGAGUAGUUGCGGUAGGCGGAAUGUAUGGUGUAGCGGUGAAAUGCUUAGAGAUCAUACAGAACACCGAUUGCGAAGGCAGCUUACCAAGCUACUUCUGACGUUGAGGCACGAAAGCGUGGGGAGCAAACAGGAUUAGAUACCCCUGUAGUC